GAUGAAAAGAUGAUGAAAACAUGCUCGAAAACAUGUUUGAAGAGUCUCGGUUCGAUUUGAAACGAAUCGGAGGUCAAACGAGCGAAAACGGGCGAAAACGGAGAAGAAACGGUGAAAAAGGCUGAAAUUUGGCUAAGUCCUUGAGGCUGAGUACUGGACCUUCGGGGACCGGUCUCUCACCGCAAGGACCGGUCUCUCAGGGACCGGUCUCUCACCGCAAGGACCGGUCCCCGAGCGCGAAAAUGGCCCAGUUUGGGCUGUUGCAAGAGAGGCUUUGUUGAGGGGUUUUUAUGCAAUUUUGCACUAAUGAGAGUGUAUAGAG
Molecule: long non-coding RNA, 322 nt
Filed under: Ananas comosus (pineapple)
Lineage: Eukaryota; Viridiplantae; Streptophyta; Magnoliopsida; Poales; Bromeliaceae
Description: long non-coding RNA (ACOM_LNC041021)
Source: RNAcentral